Molecule: ribosomal RNA, 450 nt
Filed under: uncultured Sphingomonas sp.
Lineage: Bacteria; Pseudomonadati; Pseudomonadota; Alphaproteobacteria; Sphingomonadales; Sphingomonadaceae
Description: bacterial SSU rRNA
Rfam family: Bacterial small subunit ribosomal RNA
Source: RNAcentral
CGAACGCUGGCGGCAUGCCUAACACAUGCAAGUCGAACGAGACCUUCGGGUCUAGUGGCGCACGGGUGCGUAACACGUGGGAGUCUGCCCUUUGCUUCGGAAUAACAGUUAGAAAUGACUGCUAAUACCGGAUGAUGUCGAAAGACCAAAGAUUUAUCGGCAAAGGAUGAGCCCGCGUAGGAUUAGGUAGUUGGUGGGGUAAAGGCUCACCAAGCCGACGAUCCUUAGCUGGUCUGAGAGGAUGAUCAGCCACACUGGGACUGAGACACGGCCCAGACUCCUACGGGAGGCAGCAGUGGGGAAUAUUGGACAAUGGGCGAAAGCCUGAUCCAGCAAUGCCGCGUGAGUGAUGAAGGCCUUAGGGUUGUAAAGCUCUUUUACCAGGGAUGAUAAUGACAGUACCUGGAGAAUAAGCUCCGGCUAACUCCGUGCCAGCAGCCGCGGUAAUCU